RNAcentral lists this ribosomal RNA (432 nucleotides) under uncultured bacterium. RNAcentral's name for it is "bacterial SSU rRNA". It matches the Rfam family "Bacterial small subunit ribosomal RNA", at positions 917 to 1350 of the family's 1533-position model. The record is from RNAcentral.
GGGCCCGCACAAGCGGUGGAGUAUGUGGUUUAAUUCGAUGCAACGCGAAGAACCUUACCAGGGUUUGACAUCCUGCGAAUCUCUUGGAAACAGGAGAGUGCCUUCGGGAACGCAGUGACAGGUGGUGCAUGGCUGUCGUCAGCUCGUGUCGUGAGAUGUUGGGUUAAGUCCCGCAACGAGCGCAACCCUUGUCCUUAGUUGCCAGCCUUAAGUUGGGCACUCUAAGGAGACUGCCGGUGAUAAACCGGAGGAAGGUGUGGAUGACGUCAAGUCAUCAUGCCCCUUACAUCCUGGGCUACACACGUACUACAAUGCUACGGACAAAGGGCAGCAAGUUCGCGAGGACAAGCAAAUCCCAUAAACCGUGGCUCAGUUCAGAUCGUAGGCUGCAACUCGCCUACGUGAAGGCGGAAUCGCUAGUAAUCGCAGGUC